GGCGAUGAAGGGCGUGCUAAUCUGCGAUAAGCGCCGGUAAGGUGAUAUGAACCGUUAUAACCGGCGAUACCCGAAUGGGGAAACCCAGUGUGAUUCGUCACACUAUCAUUAACUGAAUCCAUAGGUUAAUGAGGCGAACCGGGGGAACUGAAACAUCUAAGUACCCCGAGGAAAAGAAAUCAACCGAGAUUCCCCCAGUAGCGGCGAGCGAACGGGGAGGAGCCCAGAGCCUGAAUCAGCAUGUGUGUUAGUGGAAGCGUCUGGAAAGGCGCGCGAUACAGGGUGACAGCCCCGUACACAAAAGCGCAUGUGCUGUGAGCUCGAUGAGUAGGGCGGGACACGUGGUAUCCUGUCUGAAUAUGGGGGGACCAUCCUCCAAGGCUAAAUACUCCUGACUGACCGAUAGUGAACCAGUACCGUGAGGGAAAGGCGAAAAGAACCCCGGCGAGGGGAGUGAAAAAGAACCUGAAACCGUGUACGUACAAGCAGUGGGAGCACCCUUUGGG
This 506-nucleotide ribosomal RNA is filed under the name Salmonella enterica subsp. enterica. RNAcentral's name for it is "partial 23S ribosomal RNA". It matches the Rfam family "Bacterial large subunit ribosomal RNA", at positions 45 to 590 of the family's 2925-position model. Lineage: Bacteria; Pseudomonadati; Pseudomonadota; Gammaproteobacteria; Enterobacterales; Enterobacteriaceae. The record is from RNAcentral.